This is a long non-coding RNA of Dipodomys spectabilis (banner-tailed kangaroo rat), 411 nucleotides long. RefSeq lists it as uncharacterized. Lineage: Eukaryota; Metazoa; Chordata; Mammalia; Rodentia; Heteromyidae. The transcript is spliced from 3 exons. The record is from RefSeq and is a predicted model, not a curated record.
AAUCUUGACUGAGCUUGAUCCUGAUCGCCUGCACGCACAAAGGAGGAAUCGGAGCAAAGGAAGUUUCAAAGGUGGUUGCCAGGGGCCGGCUGUAUCUUGGAGUCAACGGUUGAAUGCCAUUCGCUCUAGGAAGGACAGGACUGAGUUCUGCCAGGCAUCUCCAACAGACCUUCCAACAGGUGCCUGCAUAAUUUCUGCUCUUCUUUGAAAAAGUAUGUCUAGUGCAACAAGUCUUUUUCUUCAUUUUGAAUAAGCCAUCUUGGGAAAUCUCCAAGAAGAGGAAUUCUUUGUUUUUGAAGGGGCACCUCACGUUGCGGGACCACUGAUCGGCCGGCAAGAGCGUGGGACAUUUUGAGAGAUGGGGCAGGUCAUCAUCACCGCAAAGAUUAGUCCAUGCAGGGGCAGACACAA